Molecule: ribosomal RNA, 247 nt
Filed under: uncultured bacterium
Lineage: Bacteria
Description: partial 16S ribosomal RNA
Rfam family: Bacterial small subunit ribosomal RNA
Source: RNAcentral
AUACGAAGGGGGCGAGCGUUGUUCGGAAUUACUGGGCGUAAAGGGUGUGUGGGCGGCCAUGUAAGAUAGCGGUGAAAUCCCGGGGCCCAACCUCGGAAUUGCCAUUAUUACUAUAUGGCUAGAAUGACAGAGAGGAUAUUGGAAUACCCAGUGUAGAGGUGAAAUUCGUAGAUAUUGGGUAGAACACCGGUGGCGAAGGCGAGUAUCUGGCUGUAAAUUGACGCUGAGGCACGAAAGCAUGGGGAUC